CAAUAGCGUAUAUUAAAGUUGUUGCAGUUAAAAAGCUCGUAGUUGAACUUUGGGCUUGGAGAAUCGGUCCAACUUUGUUGUGUACUGUCUUCUCCAGGUCUUUCCUUCUGGUUCUCUUUUGGGGCUUGCUCCAUUAGUUGAUCCAGGAUUUUUACUUUGAAAAAAUUAGGGUGUUCAAAGCAGGCGUUUUGCUCGAAUAUAUUAGCAUGGAAUAAUAGAAUAGGACGAUUGGUUCUAUUUUGUUGGUUUCUAGGACCAUCGUAAUGAUUAAUAGGGACGGUCGGGGGCAUCAGUAUUCAGUUGUCAGAGGUGAAAUUCUUGGAUUUACUGAAGACUAACUACUGCGAAAGCAUUUGUCAAGGACGUUUUCAUUAA
Molecule: ribosomal RNA, 375 nt
Filed under: uncultured eukaryote
Lineage: Eukaryota
Description: partial 18S ribosomal RNA
Rfam family: Eukaryotic small subunit ribosomal RNA
Source: RNAcentral